Molecule: unclassified non-coding RNA, 222 nt
Filed under: soil metagenome
Description: partial internal transcribed spacer 1
Source: RNAcentral
GUGAUUUAAUCGAGAGUUGUUAGCUGCCAUUCAUUGGCAUGUCACCCUUCCUCUUCAUCCAUCUACAUACACCUGUGAACCUGUUAGACAGAGAUGGGGAAUUUACUUGCUGCUUUUUGGAAUACAAAGGCAAUAGGUUAUUGGACCCCCCCCCUGUCUACUCAAUUAAUAUAAACUCAAUUUAUUUUAAAACGAAUGUAAUGGAUGUAACACAUCUCAUAC